Molecule: non-coding RNA, 396 nt
Organism: Cicer arietinum (chickpea)
Lineage: Eukaryota; Viridiplantae; Streptophyta; Magnoliopsida; Fabales; Fabaceae
Source: RefSeq, a predicted model, not a curated record
CGCACCGCCGCCGCAACCUAAACGCACCCGCCGCUGCAACCUUCAACGAGCAACCUAAAUGCACCGCCGCGACAACCUAAACGCACCGCCGCAACCUCAUCGUCGCCACCGCUACAAUCUUGAAUCAAGAAAUAAAGGCUCGUGUGUUCUUUGGGCAGCCAAUCCACUGUGAACAAGGAAAACAAAUUAUUUAAACAAAACAAACAAUGAAUUAAAAUCUGGAAAAAUAUUAGUAUGAAUUAAAAUCAUCAUCUUUUGAUUCAAACAAAUGGAUAGCAAAUAGACAGUUGAGACAAGCAACCGCAUGAUUCUCAGAAUAGGAUGCUACAUUUAAAAUUUGUAAUUCUGUGAACUAUAUAUAUUUUUGGUUUUAUAUAAAAUUUGUAAUUUGAUGCU